GACGAACGCUGGCGGCGUGCUUAACACAUGCAAGUCGAACGAAGAGCGAUGGAAGCUUGCUUCUAUCAAUCUUAGUGGCGAACGGGUGAGUAACGCGUAAUCAACCUGCCCUUCAGAGGGGGACAACAGUUGGAAACGACUGCUAAUACCGCAUACGAUCUAAUCUCGGCAUCGAGGAUAGAUGAAAGGUGGCCUCUACAUGUAAGCUAUCACUGAAGGAGGGGAUUGCGUCUGAUUAGCUAGUUGGGGGGGUAACGGCCCACCAAGGCGAUGAUCAGUAGACGACCAGAGAGGGGGAACGGCGAAACGGGAACGGAGACACGGUCCAGACGCGUACGGGAGGAAGCAGUAGGGAAUCUGCGGCAAGGGGGGAAAGCCUGACGGAGGAACGCAGCGUGAGUGAGGAAGGUAUUCGGAUCGUAAAACGCGGUUAUGAGGGAAGAAAAAAGGGGUAAGUAAAUAUGCACGACUGGACGGGACCUAAUCAGAAAGCCACGGCUAACGACGUG
Molecule: ribosomal RNA, 509 nt
Filed under: uncultured bacterium
Lineage: Bacteria
Description: partial 16S ribosomal RNA
Rfam family: Bacterial small subunit ribosomal RNA
Source: RNAcentral